UCAUGGAGGAAAAUAGGUGCAAAAAAAUAAGUGGGCGUGGGGCCUCCUUAUGGCGCAAGAAGAGAUGGAGUCCUAGUCACCUGGGACUCCUAUUUAUGUAGCUGAUUUAAAUCAAAUAAAAUUUUAAUCAAUCAUAAUCGAAUUAAAAAUUGAUUAGAUCCAAAUAAAUUAAAAUUCUAAUCUAAUUAGGAGUCUAAACUAUCUAGAUU
Molecule: long non-coding RNA, 209 nt
Filed under: Elaeis guineensis (African oil palm)
Lineage: Eukaryota; Viridiplantae; Streptophyta; Magnoliopsida; Arecales; Arecaceae
Description: long non-coding RNA (EGUI_LNC036757)
Source: RNAcentral